UAAAGGCCAAGUUGACUGACUGUGAAGCUCAGGCCUUUGUUCAGCUGUCCUAUGGGCUUUAGAGCGCCUGAGCCCUGUGGGUUCUACCAUGGCCUGAGCCUUUGAAUGACACAGUGGUUUUUUUUCUUUUUUUUUUUGGCGAGGAAGAGUGGCCAUGAGAUAACAUCUGUUGACACUCUUCCUCUUUUUGCUUGAGGAAGAUUGUUGCUGAGCUAACAUCUGUGGCAGUCUUCCUCUAGUUUGUAUGUGGGACACCGCCACAGCAUGGCUUAAUAAGCGCAGCAUAGGUCCACAGCCCGGAUUCCUGCACACAAACCCUGGGGAAGUGGAGCACGCACACUUAACCCCUACACAGUGGGUGGGCCCCUGACUGCCACAAUUUUAGCAGAGGAGGAACAGCCUGGUCCUCACAAGCCUGCUUUGCUUUCAACACAGACUAGCCUGAUGGAAGGACAAAGAAGAGCGUGUUUCGGUUUCAGAGAAGCUGAAUUUCCAGUUGCCUUUCAAACUUCUGCUGAGCCACCCUUUAUUCUUAGAUGAGUUGAGUAUGGAUACUGAGAGGCUGAGGGUGGACAGAGAUGCCAGCUCCCAUUUCCCUCCUGCCUCCUGCCUGAGCGCUCCCUUUCCUGACCAGGCCCUGGCUCUGACCUGACGCCUUGAACCUGGCCUGGGGCUGACGACCCUUGGAAGGAGGAGCCAGAUGGAAUCAUCUCCCUGCUAUUGUCUCAGCUGUCAGCACACUAGCACAGGAACAGAUGACAGAAGCACAAGGAUAGGAUUUUAUCGGAAAAUUCACAUACCGAAAGCAUCGGGAGUGACUUUAUCAAAGGAAACAGAUAAAGGAUAAUCAUCCUUGUGAGUGAUCCUACCGAGAAUGUGGUGACUUAAUCCAUCAAGGGUUUCUGGAAUCCUGAAUUCCUAGGGCAGGUCAAUGUUACGGGCCUCAGAGGACAGAGGAAGAAAAAAUAUUG
This 971-nucleotide long non-coding RNA is filed under the name Equus caballus (horse). Its description in RNAcentral is "lncRNA (ENSECAG00000044235.1)". Lineage: Eukaryota; Metazoa; Chordata; Mammalia; Perissodactyla; Equidae. The record is from RNAcentral.